AUACAGAGGGUGCGAGCGUUAAUCGGAAUUACUGGGCGUAAAGCGCGCGUAGGCGGUCUAUUAAGUCAGAUGUGAAAUCCCAGGGCUCAACCUUGGAACUGCAUCUGAUACUGGUAGACUAGAGUUUUGGAGAGGGGAGUAGAAUUUCAGGUGUAGCGGUGAAAUGCUUAGAGAUCUGAAGGAAUACCAGUGGCGAAGGCGACUUCCUGGCCAAAAACUGACGCUGAGGUGCGAAAGCGUGGGUAGCAAACGGGAUUAGAUACCCUAGUAGUCC
RNAcentral lists this ribosomal RNA (274 nucleotides) under uncultured bacterium. Its description in RNAcentral is "partial 16S ribosomal RNA". It matches the Rfam family "Bacterial small subunit ribosomal RNA", at positions 523 to 796 of the family's 1533-position model. The record is from RNAcentral.